This 253-nucleotide ribosomal RNA is filed under the name uncultured bacterium. RNAcentral's name for it is "partial 16S ribosomal RNA". It matches the Rfam family "Bacterial small subunit ribosomal RNA", at positions 524 to 776 of the family's 1533-position model. The record is from RNAcentral.
UACGUAGGGGGCAAGCGUUGUCCGGAAUCAUUGGGCGUAAAGCGCGUGUAGGCGGCCAACUAAGUCAGACGUGAAAUCCCUCGGCUUAACCGGGGAACUGCGUCUGAUACUGGAUGGCUUGAGUUCGGGAGAGGGAUGCGGAAUUCCAGGUGUAGCGGUGAAAUGCGUAGAUAUCUGGAGGAACACCGGUGGCGAAGGCGGCAUCCUGGACCGAUACUGACACUGAGGAGUGAAAGCGUGGGGAGCAAACAGG